AACCCCUCACGCCUAGCGUGGUAUUGGGACACGCGGUCUCCGCGGCCCUCAAAAUUAGUGGCGGCGCCGGUGGGCUCUAAGCGUAGUACAUACUCCCGCUAUAGAGUUCCCCCCGGUGGCUCGCCAGAACCCCCAAUUUUUACA
RNAcentral lists this unclassified non-coding RNA (144 nucleotides) under uncultured Phialocephala. RNAcentral describes it as "sequence contains ITS2". The record is from RNAcentral. Lineage: Eukaryota; Fungi; Ascomycota; Leotiomycetes; Helotiales.